Non-coding RNA from Triticum aestivum (bread wheat), 116 nucleotides. The record is from Rfam. NCBI's taxonomy places the organism in Eukaryota, Viridiplantae, Streptophyta, Magnoliopsida, Poales, Poaceae.
CACAUACUCCCUCUGUCCGGAAUUAUUUGUCGUAGAAAUGGAUGUAUCUAGACAUAUUUUUAGUUCUAGAUACAUCCAUUUCUGUGACAAGUAAUUCGGGAUGGAGGGAGUAUUUG